This 440-nucleotide ribosomal RNA is filed under the name uncultured bacterium. RNAcentral describes it as "partial 16S ribosomal RNA". It matches the Rfam family "Bacterial small subunit ribosomal RNA", at positions 338 to 795 of the family's 1533-position model. The record is from RNAcentral.
CCUACGGGUGGCAGCAGUCGGGAAUAUUGCACAAUGGGGGAAACCCUGAUGCAGCGACGCCGCGUGAGUGAAGAAGUAUUUCGGUAUGUAAAGCUCUAUCAGUAGGGAAGAAAAUGACGGUACCUGACUAAGAAGCCCCGGCUAACUACGGGCCAGCAGCCGCGGUAAUACGUAGGGGGCAAGCGUUAUCCGGAUUUACUGGGUGUAAAGGGAGCGUAGGCGGCCAGACAAGUCAGAAGUGAAAGCCAAGGGCUCAACCCUGGGACUGCUUUUGAAACUGCCGGGCUGGAGUGCAGGAGAGGUAAGCGGAAUUCCUAGUGUAGCGGUGAAAGGCGUAGAUAUUAAGAGGAACACCAGUGGCGAAGGCGGCUUACUGGACUGUAACUGACGUUGAGGCUCGAAAGCGUGGGGAGCAAACGGGAUUAGAUACCCGGGUAGUC